Aedes albopictus (Asian tiger mosquito) is the source of this 552-nucleotide long non-coding RNA. RefSeq lists it as uncharacterized. NCBI's taxonomy places the organism in Eukaryota, Metazoa, Arthropoda, Insecta, Diptera, Culicidae. The transcript is spliced from 2 exons. The record is from RefSeq and is a predicted model, not a curated record.
UCAGAGAGAAGACAGCAUUAGUUAACCACGCAGCAGCAAUGGAACACUCGUUUAAGUUAGAUGAAGUAGUAAUAGUAGACAAGACACACAAAUCAACCAACCUCCAAUUCCUAGAGAGUUGUCACAUAUACAACACUGAGAAAACAGUAAACAAACGAUCGGACACAGAAAAUCUACACGCAACCUAUGCAGGAAUACUACACACAUUUAAGAAUGCUCAAAAUAGAACCAAAACAAAUCACACCAAUAGACCUAACACAAACAGACCAUAGACCAUAAUAUUAUUGACACACUUCCAAACUAGAUAAUUCAUCCAAAGUUGACCCUGCUAAAUUAGUGCUUUCCGUAAUGCUACCACCCCCAAAACAAAUUGUAAGUACACUUUAAAAAUAUUUCACACAAAUCACACCAUAAUCUUUGUAAAAUAUCCACAACAGACUCUAGCAAUAUUGACAUUUCAACGUUUAACAAAUCCGACUAGACAAAAAAACGAUACAAAUUGAGUCCCUGAAGAAGCUUCCAUACGAAGCGAAACGUUGGAUGAAAAUUUAA